ACAAAUAUUAGGAACAAUAUUCUGUGAUAAUUUUAUAGCAACAGUGUUAUACGCGUAAUAUAUAAUAAUAUGCCCUGUGUACGUUUUAAGCUGUUGCGCGGGUGUCCGUCGGUAGUCGCUCGCUUUUCGCUCGAUUUUUUUUGAGUGAAAAUGACUUUUGCUUGCACAGACUCUACCAUAAUCAACGCCAUGAUAGCAUAAUCAGUGCACACCGUGGCGCCCUGAGGAGGUAUCGAUACUUUUAGCAUUGAGAUAUUCUGGAGGCCUGUCCAAUCAUCGUGACAUUGCAACUAUGGAAAUUAUCUAUCAUACAAAUCUGUAAAAAAAGGCCCUUGAAUAAACUUGCGAAAACUAAGAAUCUAUUGAGGAUUAGUCAG
Drosophila persimilis is the source of this 377-nucleotide long non-coding RNA. RefSeq lists it as uncharacterized. NCBI's taxonomy places the organism in Eukaryota, Metazoa, Arthropoda, Insecta, Diptera, Drosophilidae. The record is from RefSeq and is a predicted model, not a curated record. The transcript has 4 exons.